Oreochromis niloticus (Nile tilapia) is the source of this 2302-nucleotide long non-coding RNA. The record is from Ensembl. NCBI's taxonomy places the organism in Eukaryota, Metazoa, Chordata, Actinopteri, Cichliformes, Cichlidae.
CACCAAGAACAGAAACCUUAAUGAGGAGUGUCCCAGCUGAGGCCCGAGUCCCAGCAGCUGAGAGGCUGCUCACAGUUCGCUCACAGUUUAUUGAAAGAGUGUCUGAACCUGUUUUAAACCAACGUCUGGAUAAACUCCUGCAGCAGCGUGUUAUCAAUGAUCAGGAGAUGGAAUCAGUCAGAUCACAGCAGAGCAGAUGAAGCACGAGACGUGAUGGACACGAGGAAGUGAAGCCAGCUGAUCGCUGCUCUGUGAGGAGGAUCGAUGCCUUUCCACAGAGCUGAACCUGGAUGAAGACAGACUUGGAAAGAGUCUGUGGAGCUGUGACCAUCAAUCUCAAAGAGCACUGACAGUGUCACUGUGAUCUUCAAGUGACGUGUUUUUAAACUGCACUUUAGUUCUGAAAGUGCCUCUGGUUAAAACCUGGACUCUGAUUAGAUGCUGGGCAGGACAUUGGAUGGACUGAAGCAGAGUCUGGGACCUCAGUAAUUAUUAGUGCACAAACCAGCAAAUAUGUGAAGCUCCAUUAAUGCUGAACCACAUCUACAGGUUGAAGAGCAACGCCUCAGGUUAUCUGGGACCAGCGUCAGUUUCCACCAAUAUAACUGGAGCUGUUUCUACCUGUAAUGCUGGAAUAACCUAUUGAAUCACAUGAUCAGUGUUUACUGAGGUUGAAACUCCUCUGUGCUUCUGCUUUGAACAGCUCGUUGUGCUUCUGCCUGUUUAAAUAAAGUUUUGCUGCUUUCUUAUGCUGCAGUUUGAAUUCAGAGAUCAGGAACUAUAAAUGAAUGAACCCACAGAGGAGGCAGCUUUGGUGUGUGUUUGGUUACAGAGUCACUAAGAAACACACACAAUCCCCCAGCCUGGGUUACCAUGGAGACAGUCAAACCUUCAUUCACUUCCUGUUUCCACUGUUAGUCUGACUUCACUGGUUGGUCCCAGAGUGUCAGAGACUCGUCCUCAGACAGACGCACACAGAUGGCAGAUCCAGGCUCUCAGCCUCCAGCUGAAACUUCCAGUCCUCCCCCAGCCAGAAGCUCUGACGCUGGGCUGAGAGACUUUGAUCCUUCCCUGGAUCCAGAAGUCCAGGAGGGAGAAGGAGAACAGGACCUCCUUCCUGAUCUGGAGAGGCCUGAGAGAAAGAAAGAUGGAGCAGACAGAGCUUUGAACAAACCUCCUGAGCUUCACCUCCACAAAGGUGUGACAGGUGAAGGACACCGGCGAAUAGGAGGACAGAACCUGAGAGCCAUUAGUCACAUGACUCCAGCUGCUGCCGCCUCACCAACCACUGGCCCCUCGGUGUCUGGUAAAAGGACGAUGCUGCUGUCCAAUGAGGCGAGGAGAGAAGUAGCCAAACAGGCGAGAGCCGUGAAGGAGGAACGGCGGGCAGCUCUGGAUGCCCGACAUAAAUACCUGAUGAGCAGGCUGGCAGACGCCGGCAGCCUGGAGGAGGCAGCGGUGGAAGACGCCAUGGUCUCUGAUGACAGAUUCAGUCUGAUCCAUGAAUUCUUUGCUGCAAACGGAUCCAAGAAGCUGAUUUUCUUCUAUCAGGAUGUCAAACAGAGUCUGUCCUCCCGUCAGUCUUCCUCUGUGGACGCAUCAAACUCAGCUGUGGCUCAGAGGAAACUCUUCCUCACUACGGGGAACUCUGAGCUCCAAACAAUCCCGAGCCUACGAUUCAUCAUUGUCCUGUUCAGAGAUGAUGAGCCUGAGCGUGUUUGUGUUUCCAUGGAUCAAACUGUGCUGCUUUGUUUGGUUAACCAGGUGAUUAAAGUCUCUGAGCAAACACUGGAUGACUGACAGCUGCAGGCUGAACAUCAGGAGGUCGAGAGGCCGAAGUCUGAGGAGCUCAAAGCUCCACAAACACUUAUUCACAGAGAAAAGGACUACAAACAUGGAGGAGCACAACUCCGAACAUGAGCUAAAGGCUACAUGCUAAUAGCAUUUCCCCAUGAUGUGGUUUUAACAGGAUCAUGAAUGAUGAAGUAUUUAAAGUCAGUUCCAGCCUGAGUCAGUGCCGUGUUGGCAGCUCUGAUAUGCAGAAACUUUCAAACAUGGGACAGGAAUAAAAACACGCCUGUGACGUCAGAGUUUAUGAAUGAUGACAAACUGUUUCUUGUUUUUAGAAACUUUGUUGAUGCUUAAAAUGAUCAGGAAAUAAAAGCUGAAUAGAUCCAUCUCCAAAAGUUGAUUCUGUUCAUCUGGACGUAGCGUUUUGUGGGAGAAAUGUUUCGUCACUUAUCCAAGUGACUUCUUCAGUCUCAGCUGACUGCAGGUUUUCCUCAUAUCUUAUAAACAGGCC